Molecule: non-coding RNA, 59 nt
Filed under: unclassified sequences
Description: S15-Flavobacteria ribosomal protein leader
Rfam family: S15-Flavobacteria ribosomal protein leader
Source: RNAcentral
UAUAUUUGCAUCGUCCAAAAGAGGGCUACAUAAUAAUCAUUUAAAAUAAUAUUUGCAUG